CUUCGUUCCUGCCUCGCAUCUUCCAUGUGCAACAAAACUGCUAAACAAAGGUUUUUGUACUUCUUUCAAAAGCCUACAAAGGCUAUUUGAUCAGAGGUGACAAAAGAACAAAAGCAGUCUGAGUGUACACCAUGGGAAGCAGUUUCCAGAGGGGAAGUCAUUGUAUUGUCACAGCAGAAACGCACAAGCUUUUGUGCACCAAAGUCUACUUCAUCAGAUGGAUGGACUGUAUCUCAGCCCAGUGAUUCAGUUGGCAGGAGUGACUGAUCAGGAUGAUAGCCUUUCACAACUCAAGCAGGAAGCAAAAGCGGCUCUACUCACUGUGGUACUCUACUUCUACUAGGGAUGCUGAAGAAAAGAAGCUGGACAGGAUCACUUCAAGACAACAUUUCUGACCCUCCAUUAAUGACCAAAUCUGGUAAACCCACAACAUGUGUUGACAUGGUUUGUACAACACACAAAGCCAAACUAUGACUUAGCACAAAUGUGUGAGCUCCAUGACCACUUUGCUCAUCCUUCUGUUCUGCUGCUGCUGUGCCACUGUGAGCUAAGCCAUUGUUUGACUUAGCAUGUCAUCUGAACCCAGGCUUAGGGUUUAUUGCCUGCAGACAAACCACAAGCGGGUUUGGAUAAUACAGUAAGUCAAACCAUGAAGCACAUUAGCAGCAGGACUGAGGAACAAAGCAUUAAUGAGUCCACACAUUAAUGCUAAGCCAUGGUUGGGAUUCGCAUUACAUGUGAAGUGGGGCAUUGUAGUGGAAUUUGGUAAGGAAUUGGAGGGAAAUAAUAUGAGCAGAGAGCACUAGAUAUGGCAUGUCUGUAGCUGGGUUUAUUCCUUUUAACUCCAGCUGCUGAUAAUUCCAGAAUCUUCCAGCUUUUGAAAUGAGCUGUCAGUAAUCCCAGACAUUUUCCUGCCUGAGGCAAAAGACAAGGUGGCACCUCCCCGUCUACACCCAGAAGUCACCCAGAUUGCUUCUUGAAUUGUAUUUCAGUCCUGGCAAAAGGACAGUGGCCUUCACUGCAGGCUAGCUAGCACAUACAGCUCUGCCCACAUCCAUCAGCAUCUGAGGCAGUUGUCUCAUUCUGCCUAACGGCAGGGCCAGGUCCCUAAUAGUCAUUGGAGCCUUUUACAGUACAGUCCUAUCUGUGUAUACUCAGAGCUCAUUUCAGCUUACUUCUAAGGAAAUGGCUGUAAGAUUGCUGCUUUACUUCCACACACACAGAAAUUUCAGAUUGUGAGGGACAAACAACAUAAAAAAGAACUAUAUUUAUGCAAACAACUCACAUCCUUUUCUUUUUUUUUAAAAAGAAACAUCUUUGCUGUUGUUCUUAGCUUUCUCAGACCCCCCUUUCUGCCACACACACACAUAUUUUUGAAUCCAAACAUAGCACUAAGUGAAGUUUGUUUCUAUUUGUUUCAGGAAAACAAAUUCUGUUAUCACAGAAAAUAUGGUCAAAAUUCUAUUUAUAAUCUUUGCUACUUAUUAUGGACAGAUCUCCCAGAAUAUUAACUGUACAUAAUAACCGUGAACAGAUGGCAGCCUCAGCUCUUUCUUGUAAAAAUUAUUAAUUCUUUUAUCCCCACCAUCCAGUGAUCAACCACCUGGCUCUUUAUUGCUCUGACUCCUUCCUCCGCCCCUCCCAAUUCCCAUCCUCCGAUGUGAUGUGACCACCUGCUGCAAUUCCAAUUGUUUGGGCAUAACUCUAAAAAAUAAGGUCUAGAGCAGGAAUAGUCAAAGUGGUACCCUUUAGAUGCUCUGGACUAAAACUCCCACCAGUCCUAGCCAGCCUAGCUAAUGGUCAUGGAUGAAAGGAACAGUAGUUCAAAACAUAUGGUGGCUACCAUGUUGGCUUUCCCGCUUCAAACUAAACAGUGUUUCCGGUUACGCUUGAAUUUUGCUUAGUUUAAACUGUGAUUUGUUAAAACAAACCAGGAACAAGUGAUCCUGACUUGUUCAUUAACCACAGUUAAAAUGAAACCGAGUUCUCCAAGUUUAUACAUAAUAGAGAACUCUGGUUAGCUCAUGGUUCAGCAUUGUACAUUUGAAUCUUUCCUCAUUCUCACAGAUACGUGAACAUAUGAGUGUUGAUGUAACCAUUUACAUACAUCUCAGGAAAACUUUCUUCCUCUAGUUGACAAUGUUGCUAACUUGUCUGAAUGCCAAAUCAUUGCAUAUUUCCUGAACUGCUUAUACACAAUAAAAUUCGUAAUCACAUAAAAUCGCUCGU
Long non-coding RNA from Podarcis muralis (Common wall lizard), 2229 nucleotides. RefSeq lists it as uncharacterized. The record is from RefSeq and is a predicted model, not a curated record. Lineage: Eukaryota; Metazoa; Chordata; Lepidosauria; Squamata; Lacertidae.